GGGCGCUAAGUAGAAGGACACGAAGUUUCUUUUCCCUGUUUAUAACCUCCCCAGCCAUGACCCUCAUAAACCCGAUGCUGUGACAGGCCACGUGGAGUCAAGUUAGCACAGUCCCAACGAGACGGCCUGGCCCUGAGCGUGGCGUCCUGACCCAGGAUGGCCCCUGUGGCCAGUGGCCCCGCCUCUCCCUUGUAACCCUGACUGUGCUCACGAGGGCCCUGCAGGGACGCCGUCACCGUGCGGGCCUUCAGCCCGCACUCCUCGCCCCGGGCUCGUGGGGCCUGGCGUGCUGGCGGUGCUCUGCCCUUUCUGUGGGCCCUACCUUUCGGGCCCCAGCUGACGGGGGAGCCCGGGGCUCUGACGGCUUCCUCACUUGGUUCUGCCUCAGGAGAACCUGCUCUCUGGUCACAUAACUGAAGCAGGGCUCAAGGGGGCACGCGCCCCACAACGACCUCGCUCGUGCCAGGGAAGCACUCCCCCGCCCUACCCCACCGCCCCGGGCCGCUGGGUGCACAGUGGAACAUUCUUACCUGGCUGCCACCACGACUGUUUUCUGAGCUGCACAAAUGGUGAAACAGUGUGGAACCGACCGCUCGCUCUCGCCCUCUUCUACCUGUGGCGGGAGAAGAGGCGGGCGUGUGGAGUGAGCCCGGGGCCGGCAGAGCCCGCGCCUGCAGCACAACACAGGUGCCUCGGAAGCCCUGUGCUGGGCAAAUCUCUGCUGACUACCAGGGGCUACAGGGGGCAUGGGGAUCCCCAGGCCACGGCACCUGCCACCCAGGUGGGCGAGCUGUGGGCCGCAGGGCACCGAACUACUCACCGGUGGGUCCAGCACUAUUAGCUGAAAGUCAAGCACAGGAAAAAAUGUUGAGCAUUUUCAUUAUCAAAAAGGGAAAUGGACAGUUCGCUUUAUAAACCUGGUACCAAAACCUGACAAAGUUAGUUUCAGAGAAAAACCCAACGGGCUGCUCACGGUCUAAGUGACUCACUGAAGUAACUCCCAAAUAAAAUACUAUCCAAUCAAACCCAAAGCACAGACAAGAAAUUGUCCUGUGACCGAGGAAGGGUGCUCCCGGGAUGCAACGGUGCUUUGACGCUGGGAAGCCGGCCAGCAGAGGUCUCCCUGUCGGGAGGAGGGCGGUCAUUUCUGCAAUGCCACAUACACCUCAGCUAAAAUCCAACGUGUGACUUUUGAUGUCUCUCACAUGGAAACAGGAGGAAGCCGUAAACAUGACAUAGGUUCUCUUUCUGAAGCCAAGACCUGUCACCCUUCCCUCUGCAUUCAGGAUGAGGGCCGGCUGUCUGUUCCCCGGAACCAGCCGGUUACAGACCACCCCCGAAGAGACGGCUUCCCCGUGUGGGGGCCCAUGCGAUGCCAACCACCAAGCCUCACUCAGGACACAAAAGAUCUGAAAGUGUGAGCAGUGGCAAGAGAAGGUCACGAUGUUCGUCUCCCUGUAAGUCAGCACGUAAAUGUAAUGCCAUUGAACUAGAAAUCCCGGUGCUGUUUUUGGAAGGAAUUUGUCCAAAUGAUUCCUCAGUUUAUCUGGAAGAAUUAAAUACUUGAAAGUAGCAAAGAACUUUUUAAAAAGGAGGACGAAUAAGGGGUGGAGCUUCCCAACACAGCAACCCACCCCCCCACGUGACAGAACAGUGUGAACUGAGGCUGGCCCGGAGAAAUGAGACGGGAGGCCCAGCAGGCACCCCAAGUGUGAAGGCCACAGUGUUUCCAUGACGAGGGCAGCCUUGGAGGUCAGAGAGAAACAGGUUCGACAAAGGAAGCUGCGUGCAAGGGGGGACGUGGCACGUCCCCAUCUGGUGGCCCGCAAGGAAACGCGUUCAGGCAGUUUGUGAGGGAGACUUAAGGAAACUGAACGUAUCAGAAGAACAAAAAGGCGCCGGUGUGAUCUUGGCACAGGGAAGGACUUCCUGAGCCCGCACUAAGGAUGGGAGCCCUGACGGAAAGGAUGAACUGAUCUGACUAUAAAAAUGUCUGGAUUCCCUCCUUCAGCAAGGAUUUGUUGGGACCUCUGUGCCAGGUGCCGUCCCAGGAGGAAGACACGAUCACUGUCCAGUGGACUUUCAAUUCUACCAGAUCACACCAAACCGCAGGCGAGACAAACAAGACUUGCCAGCUGCGGAAGGGAUCCGUGGCCUCCGCGAGCAGGUGGCGUCUAUAAAAUGCGGCACAAAUGUGUACGAAGAGCCAACAGACCGACAGAGACUGUGGCAGCAGACACCCGCGUGUCUCCUCGGGGAGGCCCCAGACUCUAGGAGACACGGACUCCGUCAGCCUCCACGACCGUCCAAAAGCUGCGCCACUGGCCGGACUGCGAAGGAUGAGGGGUGAGUGCCCAGUGCCCCCCGACGCCGUGGAAAGAGGCUCGGAUGCACUUAGUGGGAGGCCGGGUCGUGUGUAUGCUCCGGCAGUGAUGUGGCGCUGAUAUUCGGAGCCAGAAAAACGAGCGUGCCCAAGGCUCGAACAACACGUGCCGGGCGUAGAGAUGUGUAGAAAGACCAAAAUCCAACGGGGUUAUUUCUAAUUUCGAAAAACUAAAUGGAGCCAGAAUGUCCAAUGUCGGGAAACAGUUCAGAAAGCCAGAGUCUGGCCUCCCAGUCCACUGCCCGUCUCCGUUAAAUGUGCACGGAGCCCACCUAUUACAAGCACAGGAGACGUUAGGGAUGAAGUGCUGAGCAAGAACAAGCGAGUUACAGAAGAGCUUGUAGGUGAUUGUGCCGUGCCACCCAUGGAAAUGUUCCCGUACAGACGAAGCCUGAUGGGCACGUUGCAAAAUGCCAACAGUGCGUGUUACUUGGUGGCGAAGUUAUGAGAGAUUUUUAUAUUUUCCAUUUUUUUCUAUAAUGAAAGUAUAAUUAAAAAAUAUACACUUUAGGGGCGCCUGGGUGGCUCAGUCGGUUAAGCGUCCGACUUCAGCCCGGGUCACAAUCUCGCGGUCCGUGAGUUCGAGCCCCGCAUCGGGCUCUGGGCUGAUGGCUCAGAGCCUGGAGCCUGCUUCCGAUUCUGUGUCUCCCCCUCUCUCUGCCCCUCCCUCAUUCAUGCUCUGUCUCUCUCUCUCUCUCAAAAAUAAACAAACGUUAAAAAAAAUUAAAAAAAAAAA
This is a long non-coding RNA of Acinonyx jubatus (cheetah), 3119 nucleotides long. RefSeq lists it as uncharacterized. NCBI's taxonomy places the organism in Eukaryota, Metazoa, Chordata, Mammalia, Carnivora, Felidae. The record is from RefSeq and is a predicted model, not a curated record. The transcript has 2 exons.